GUAAGAGAACCACAAACACCUGUUCUUUGGUAGAUUCACCACAGAGAAUCACUUCUUGAAGGUCAAUUAUAUUGCUAAGUCAGUCUAAAGAUUUUCCGCCUGGGAAAGUACAGCAAUGGCAUCUGUUCAUUCUUCAACCAUCCUCCCAUAGCCUGAAAACAGAACUCGAACUUUGCUUUGGAGGAACCAUUUUUAAUCACCUCUCAUGAUAUAAAUAAGAUUGACCUCAUCCCCAAAUUUUAAAGUGGGAAUUGAUUAGCUUAAGUCCUCUUGUGAUCUCUCCGGCCAAAUAAUUGGUUGAAGACAGGACACAGAACCUAAACAGAGCCAAUGAAACAGAGGAAAUGUUUGUUUUGGCUUCUGGAAAUAAAAAGCUUCUCUCUUCCAUGGAGACUACCUGAAGAAAUCUUCUUUCUUUUCCUUGCCAGUGAGACGUGAAGAUGCAAGAUCUAGAACUGCUAAGCCAUUUUGAAACCCUGAUGGUACCUGAAGACUGUCAGGGGUCCCUGUGUAGAGUCUGAGGAUGAAAUAAACACAAAAGAUAAGAGUAA
Molecule: long non-coding RNA, 551 nt
Organism: Pan troglodytes (chimpanzee)
Lineage: Eukaryota; Metazoa; Chordata; Mammalia; Primates; Hominidae
Exons: 2
Source: RefSeq, a predicted model, not a curated record